Molecule: non-coding RNA, 66 nt
Filed under: human gut metagenome
Description: Fluoride riboswitch
Rfam family: Fluoride riboswitch aptamer (crcB RNA motif)
Source: RNAcentral
ACACAGGGGAUGAGGUCCCCCUCGGCCGUGAGGCCGGAACCGCUGUUUGGCUGAUGACUUCUGCGC